This 468-nucleotide ribosomal RNA is filed under the name uncultured bacterium. RNAcentral describes it as "partial 16S ribosomal RNA". It matches the Rfam family "Bacterial small subunit ribosomal RNA", at positions 28 to 507 of the family's 1533-position model. The record is from RNAcentral.
GACGAACGCUGGCGGCGUGCUUAACACAUGCAAGUCGAACGGAAAGGCCCUGCUUUUGUGGGGUGCUCGAGUGGCGAACGGGUGAGUAACACGUGAGUAACCUGCCCUUGACUUUGGGAUAACUUCAGGAAACUUGGGCUAAUACCGGAUAGGAGCUCCUGCUGCAUGGUGGGGGUUGGAAAGUUUCGGCGGUUGGGGAUGGACUCGCGGCUUAUCAGCUUGUUGGUGGGGUAGUGGCUUACCAAGGCUUUGACGGGUAGCCGGCCUGAGAGGGUGACCGGCCAAAUUGGGACGGAGAUACGGCCCAGACUCCUACGGGAGGAAGCAGUGGGGAAUAUUGCAAAAUGGGCGGAAGCCUGAUGCAGCAACGCCGCGUGCGGGAUGACGGCCUUCGGGUUGUAAACCGCUUUCGCCUGUGACGAAGCGUGAGUGACGGUAAUGGGUAAAGAAGCACCGGCUAACUACGUG